RNAcentral lists this ribosomal RNA (468 nucleotides) under uncultured bacterium. RNAcentral describes it as "partial 16S ribosomal RNA". It matches the Rfam family "Bacterial small subunit ribosomal RNA", at positions 28 to 507 of the family's 1533-position model. The record is from RNAcentral.
GAUGAACGCUGGCGGCGUGCUUAACACAUGCAAGUCGAACGGAAAGGCCCUGCUUUUGUGGGGUGCUCGAGUGGCGAACGGGUGAGUAACACGUGAGUAACCUGCCCUUGAGUUUGGGAUAACUUCAAGAAACUGGGGCUACUACCGAAUAGGAGCUCCUGCAGCAUGGUGGGGGUUGGAAAGCAUCGGCGGAUGGGGAUAGACUGGCGGUUUAUCAGCUUGUGGGUGGGGUAGGGGCUAACCAAGGCAUAGACGGGUAGCCGGCCUGAGAGGGUAACCGGCCACAUUGCGACUGAGAUACGGCCCAGACUCGAACGGGAGGCAGCGGUGGAGAGUAUUACACAGCAGGCGGAAGCCUGAUGCGACGACGCCGCGUGCGGGAAGACGGCCUUCGUGUUGUAAAGCGCAGUCGCCUGAGACGAAGCGGGAGUGACGGUAAUUGGUAAAGAAGCACCGGCUAACUACGUG